This 524-nucleotide ribosomal RNA is filed under the name Strigoderma sp. 1 AGL-2012. RNAcentral describes it as "partial 16S ribosomal RNA". It matches the Rfam family "Bacterial large subunit ribosomal RNA", at positions 1819 to 2610 of the family's 2925-position model. Lineage: Eukaryota; Metazoa; Arthropoda; Insecta; Coleoptera; Scarabaeidae. The record is from RNAcentral.
GUCUUUUUGAUUAUAAUUUAAAGUCUAACCUGCCCAAUGAGGAGUUGAAUGGCCGCGGUAAUUUGACCGUGCAAAGGUAGCAUAAUCAUUAGUUUUUUAAUUGAAAGCUGGAAUGAAUGGUUGGACGAGAAAAUAACUGUCUCAAUUUAAUUGUAUAUAGAAUUUUAUCUGUAAGUAAAAAAGCUUACAUAUUUUUAAAAGACGAGAAGACCCUAUAGAGUUUUAUAUUUUACUUUAUAAAUUAAUUUUAGUAUAUUUAUAUUUUUUAUAUAAGUAAAAUAUUUUGCUGGGGCAGUAGAAAAAUUUAAUAAACUUUUUUUUUAAUACUACAUUUAUUUAUGAUUUGAUGAUCCAUUAUUUAUGAUUAAAAGAUUAAAUUACCUUAGGGAUAACAGCGUAAUUUUUUUUUAGAGUUCUUAUCGAAAAAAGAGUUUGCGACCUCGAUGUUGGAUUAAAAUUAACUUUUGGUGUAGGGGCUAAAAGGUUAGGUCUGUUCGACCUUUAAAAUUUUACAUGAUCUGAGU